CUCUGUUUUUCAUCUACAAAACCCCAAGAUGCAGCUUAAGAACCAAGCCUGAAGAGAGUGAGCCUGCCUUCGCCCUGGCCUGCAUUCAGCAGAUCUGUGAGGACUGGUCAGCUGCGGGAAGCCUCUUCAAUGUACCCCCAACCCCUGCUCUCAGGCCUGCAGAGGCACAGGAGGUCAUAAAGGUCAUUUUUACUGAGCUCCAGAAGAUGGAAUGGAAGUGAACAACUGCAAUAAAGGCACA
This 241-nucleotide long non-coding RNA is filed under the name Fukomys damarensis (Damara mole-rat). Its description in RNAcentral is "lncRNA (ENSFDAG00000031471.1)". The record is from RNAcentral. Lineage: Eukaryota; Metazoa; Chordata; Mammalia; Rodentia; Bathyergidae.